ACUACAUUACCCAGGAUAACUUGUGUUAAGGCAACAACGUUGAUCCAAUGAAAAUCCAGAAAGGGUGCAUUUCCGGGAGAGGGCCGUCUUCCUGGCGGACAUUUUGAUUGCUGUGGAGUCUGAGGAGCUCGUCAGAAAGUCGAGUCUAUAAACUCCCAGGGUCAUCGCAGCAUGUGUAACAGCAGCGUCUCCUGCAGUGCCAUACCUUACUGAGGAUUCUCAAAAAAGUGAUUCUGAGAGUUGUGACCCCUAUACCAUGAGGAAGAGCUUUGAUUACACCCUGAAAACCUGGUACUGUGUCUUGGAAUCUAACAGGAUAAAAAAGAGCAAACUAUAGGGCACUUCACUAAUCUCCAAAUACCAGGGUUCCUGCCCAUGCAGCAUCAGCUGAAGAGCCCAAGGAGGCACAGAAAUUGAGGAAAACUACAUUCUUUGCUCUGCCACUGACCCUGGUCAUAAGAAUGAGGCAGCCCCAGAGAGCAUGACAAUCUCCAUACAUGAUCUCAUCCAGCGAUAGUGACUUGAAUGUUUAUGGAUGUGUUUUUAGCAUGGACACACCCAUUCUCGUUUGCAGCAGUCUCUCCGAUCUCAAUUAUUCACACCCAGUGUUUCUGCAUCAAUUUUGUUUCCUUCCUGGACACAGUAAGUCUUACAGCCAUUGACUCCUGUACCAGAUUCUGGCCUUCAGGGCAUAUGGCAUUUGGCAGCUCCUAAGGAACAGCUGCCCCUCAACAGUGCCAGGGAAUGUGGCAUAUAUGGUGAAAACAAGACACUGAAGCCAUGCUGCUCCCAAACAUGUUGUAGGUUGUUACAAUACCACCCUUCUCAAGGUGAUGUCUGGACCCUCGAAUAACUGAAAUCUAGACAAAAUCAGGCCCACAAAGCCCUGAAUUCUCACCCAAGCUUUUGUCAGCAAUGGAAAUUAACACCAAGAUUGGACUGAGAACUGUUCUCUGUCAACCUGU
Long non-coding RNA from Aethalodelphis obliquidens (Pacific white-sided dolphin), 965 nucleotides. RefSeq lists it as uncharacterized. The record is from RefSeq and is a predicted model, not a curated record. The transcript has 3 exons. NCBI's taxonomy places the organism in Eukaryota, Metazoa, Chordata, Mammalia, Artiodactyla, Delphinidae.